RNAcentral lists this ribosomal RNA (497 nucleotides) under uncultured bacterium. RNAcentral describes it as "partial 16S ribosomal RNA". It matches the Rfam family "Bacterial small subunit ribosomal RNA", at positions 28 to 507 of the family's 1533-position model. The record is from RNAcentral.
GAUGAACGCUGGCGGCGUGCCUAAUACAUGCAAGUCGAGCGAACAGACGAGGAGCUUGCUCCUCUGACGUUAGCGGCGGACGGGUGAGUAACACGUGGAUAACCUACCUAUAAGACUGGUAUAACUUCGGGAAACCGGAGCUAAUACCGGAUAAUAUAUUGAACCGCAUGGUUCAAUAGUGAAAGACGGUUUUGCUGUCACUUAUAGAUGGAUCCGCUCCGCAUUAUCUAGUUGGUAAGGUAACGGCUUACCAAGGCAACGAUGCGUAGCCGACCUGAGAGGGUGAUCGGCCACACUGGAACUGAGACACGGUCCAGACGCCUACGGGAGGCAGCAGUAGGGAAUCUUCCGCAAUGGGCGAAAGCCUGACGGAGCAACGCCGCGUGAGUGAUGAAGGUCUUCGGAUCGUAAAACUCUGUUAUUAGGGAAGAACAAAUGUGUAAGUAACUAUGCACGUCUUGACGGUACCUAAUCAGAAAGCCACGGCUAACUACGUG